ACUUAAAUAAUUUAAUUUUAAAAUAUCAGCUUGUGGGUCUGAAUAUGUAUAUUUACUUUAAGUU
RNAcentral lists this transfer RNA (64 nucleotides) under Heteropteryx dilatata (New Guinea walking stick). RNAcentral describes it as "tRNA-His". The record is from RNAcentral. Lineage: Eukaryota; Metazoa; Arthropoda; Insecta; Phasmatodea; Heteropterygidae.